CGUGCACCACCAGGAAGGACCCUGAGUCAGAGUGACUGGGAGAGCUUCUGGGGGAGGCUGGAGGACAGGCAUGGAACCGGGAAGAAGAAAUUCACCAGCAUGGUGUCAGCUCUGAGAUGGGUGUGUUCACUUACAUUAUUCCACUGGAUUCACAGAAAGCCUGAUAAGGGUGAUGUUAUUCUACGUUUGCAGAGAAGGGAACUGAGACUCUGAGAACUGAAGCUCUUUGUGCUAAGCAGUGGGUUAGGAAGCUUGGAAGGACACAAAUGAAGUAGAAGAUGAGGCUUCUGCCCCCAAAAAGACCCAGAGAAAACCAACUGGGAUGCAGAUGAGACUCAAAGGUCUUGGGUGAUCUGUCACCUCCCGCACAGGGGGCCUGUGCUGAGAAGGCCCGCGGCGAGCGGUCCA
Non-coding RNA from Odocoileus virginianus texanus, 408 nucleotides. Lineage: Eukaryota; Metazoa; Chordata; Mammalia; Artiodactyla; Cervidae. The record is from RefSeq and is a predicted model, not a curated record.